AGCAUAGAAGUAAAAUAUUACACUUAGUUUCGACCUAAAAAUAGAGAAAUAAAUCUUCAUGUUUUA
This 66-nucleotide transfer RNA is filed under the name Mesargus serrata. RNAcentral's name for it is "tRNA-Arg". Lineage: Eukaryota; Metazoa; Arthropoda; Insecta; Hemiptera; Cicadellidae. The record is from RNAcentral.